UAGACAUUGAAUUGUCGUACGUCGUUGGCGACUGACGCCAAAUCGAAUACGUAAAAUCGUUGAUUAUAUGAAUCGUUUGCUGUGCUUACAAUUAUGUUUUUUAUUUAUGUGCUAUCCAAUUUCUUCAGUGAGAUCGUUUAUGAAAUCAUAUUUUGCUCGAACAGGCCGAUGUAAUUUAUUGUUUUCGUGUAGUGCAUUCAUUCUUCGCAUGCAAGAUCACUGUACUGUGUCAAUGUGAAACUUACUCUACAUAUGCUGUGUUUACACUGACGUUUCAUUAUUGGAAGACUGCUUCGCUUUCGACCGGAUUUACACCGUGGAGGAAGGAAUAUGUGGCCGCGAUACAUCGAGGCGAUAUAUUAUCGAGAUUGCCAGGAAGCUUGGUACCGUGGCAUCUAUCACCACUGACAUAGAUCCACGACGAUCUUCGUGCAUUAUCGAGCAACGGAACUCUACUUCACGUUUCCUACAGAGAAUCGUGUGGACAGUGUGCAACGUGAGUUUGAAACAAUUGGAUCGUUACUUCUCGUAUCAAGAGAAGCUACAAAAUGAGUGUCAGCGAGAAGCAUUAUGCUAUACGAGUUUAAAAAGGGCAGCGCAACUAUGGAUACUGUUAAGUACAUUUGUCAAGUAUACGGUGAACAUGUGCUGAAUGCGAGGAAGUGUGAAAGAUGGUCCUCAAAAUUUCAGAAUGGUGUUUUCGAGCUUGCUGACGAAGCCAGGUCUGGUCGAAGAGUAACCUUCGACGUCGAAGCAUUGAUAGUUGUAAUUGAAGCAGAACCUCAUUUGACUACCGAGGAAAUAGCAAACAGAGUAGUAGUAGUAGUAUCGUACAUCGAUAUUUGCAUCAGAUUGGAGAAGCUUCUAAUGAACUUUCCAGGAAACAGCUUGAAACGAUUUAUACGGACCAUCAACUGCUUUCGAGCGUAUCAUUAAUUUCAAGCAUCAGGAAUUCAACUUUAAUUUAAUGAACGAAGAUCUGCAGGACGCACCAUUAAUUUUACAGAAGCUUCGACAGCGUCCGGAUGCAAAAAAUAUGACGCUUCCUACUUGAGCUUCACUUACUCUCACAAAUGAAUGUAGCUUUUAACAUUUGUAACAGACAUUAUAUGUACGUACAGAAAAGUUAGAAGACAUUUUGUCGGAUCACCACUUUUCUCUUAAUAUAAUUCGCAAACGAUCAAAUACACGAAGGAUGCAGUUUAGAAAAACUUAUACGGCACGUGCUAGCUUCCAGAAAGUUAGUUCCUAGUGAGUUGUACUAUGGGUAGAAGCUGGUUGAGACACGACCAGUAGUCAAGUAGCAAGUAAAGCCGAAUUUAUACUGUCUCACUGUGAAUGAUUCAUCGAAAAACGUUGCUUUCAUCCUCGUUUCAUCCGCAGUGAUCGUCCAAUGUGAACGGUGUAAAUUCGGCUUUACUGAACUACUAGCCGUAUCCGAGCCAAUCUUAAAGCCUAGAAAACUAAGGUCAGCACUUUGUCACCUAAAUAUCGCAUGCAGUGAGAGACAAAAUCCGCACAGUUGCUUUACCGUAUCGUAGAAAAUGAAAGUGAGAUAUUUUAUUAUAUACAUUCAAUACAUUCGACAUAAUUAAAUAUAUUCAAAUACACGUAAACGUAUAUUGUAUAGAUAUUUAUAAUACUUAUAACGCUUAUAU
Bombus pyrosoma is the source of this 1658-nucleotide RNA transcript. It is a transcript of the gene named histone-lysine N-methyltransferase SETMAR-like, with no coding region annotated. Lineage: Eukaryota; Metazoa; Arthropoda; Insecta; Hymenoptera; Apidae. The transcript has 4 exons. The record is from RefSeq and is a predicted model, not a curated record.